GACGAACGCUGGCGGCGUGCCUAACACAUGCAAGUCGAACGAAAAGGUCCGGCCUUUGGGGGGAGGUCUACUUACCAACGGGUGAGCUACACUUGAGUAACCUGUCACUGACCUAGGGGUAACCUCAGGCAACUUGGGGUCAUAGCGCCAAGGAUCUAUCGCCUUUUGGUGGGGGCUGGAUAGUUUCGGCGGUUGGGGAGGUACUCGCGGCUUAUCAGCUGGUUGGUGGGGUAGUGGCUUACCAAGGCUUUGACGGGUAGCCGGCCUGAGAGGGUGACCGGCGACAUUGGGACUGAGAUACGGCCCAGACUCCUACGGGAGGCAGCAGUGGGGAAUAUUGCACAAUGGGCGGAAGCCUGAUGCAGCAACGCCGCGUGCGGGAUGACGGCCUUCGGGUUGUAAACCGCUUUCGCCUGUGACGAAGCGUGAGUGACGGUAAUGGGUAAAGAAGCACCGGCUAACUACGUG
This 468-nucleotide ribosomal RNA is filed under the name uncultured bacterium. RNAcentral describes it as "partial 16S ribosomal RNA". It matches the Rfam family "Bacterial small subunit ribosomal RNA", at positions 28 to 507 of the family's 1533-position model. The record is from RNAcentral.